Molecule: ribosomal RNA, 590 nt
Filed under: uncultured bacterium
Lineage: Bacteria
Description: partial 16S ribosomal RNA
Rfam family: Bacterial small subunit ribosomal RNA
Source: RNAcentral
UGGGGAAUAUUGGACAAUGGGCGCAAGCCUGAUCCAGCCAUGCCGCGUGUGUGAAGAAGGCCUUAGGGUUGUAAAGCACUUUCAGUGGGGAGGAAAGGGUGUUGUGUUAAUAGCACAGCAUUUUGACGUUACCCACAGAAGAAGCACCGGCUAACUCCGUGCCAGCAGCCGCGGUAAUACGGAGGGUGCAAGCGUUAAUCGGAAUUACUGGGCGUAAGGCGCACGCAGGCGGCUUUUUAAGUCGGAUGUGAAAGCCCCGGGCUCAACCUGGGAAUUGCAUCUGAUACUGGGAAGCUAGAGUAUGUGAGAGGGGGGUAAAAUUCCAAGUGUAGCGGUGAAAUGCGUAGAGAUUUGGAGGAAUACCAGUGGCGAAGGCGGCCCUCUGGGCACAAAUACUGACGCUCAGGUGCGAAAGCGUGGGGAGCAAAACAGGAUUAGAUACCCUGGUAGUCCACGCCGUAAACGAUGUCUACUAGAUGUUCGUGGUCUUGUACCGUGAGUAUCGCAGCUAACGCAUUAAGUAGACCGCCUGGGGAGUACGGUCGCAAGAUUAAAACUUAAAUGAAUUGACGGGGUCAUAGCUGUUUCCU